UACGAAGGGGGCUAGCGUUGCUCGGAAUCACUGGGCGUAAAGGGUGCGUAGGCGGGUCUUUAAGUCAGGGGUGAAAUCCUGGAGCUCAACUCCAGAACUGCCUUUGAUACUGAGGAUCUUGAGUUCGGGAGAGGUGAGUGGAACUGCGAGUGUAGAGGUGAAAUUCGUAGAUAUUCGCAAGAACACCAGUGGCGAAGGCGGCUCACUGGGCCGAUUCUGACACUGAGGAGCGAAAGCGUGGGGAGCGAACAGG
Molecule: ribosomal RNA, 253 nt
Filed under: uncultured bacterium
Lineage: Bacteria
Description: partial 16S ribosomal RNA
Rfam family: Bacterial small subunit ribosomal RNA
Source: RNAcentral